Molecule: non-coding RNA, 358 nt
Organism: Prevotella sp. CAG:279
Lineage: Bacteria; Pseudomonadati; Bacteroidota; Bacteroidia; Bacteroidales; Prevotellaceae
Rfam family: Bacterial RNase P class A
About the family: Ribonuclease P (RNase P) is a ubiquitous endoribonuclease, found in archaea, bacteria and eukarya as well as chloroplasts and mitochondria. Its best characterised activity is the generation of mature 5'-ends of tRNAs by cleaving the 5'-leader elements of precursor-tRNAs.
Source: Rfam
ACAGUACGGUGUCCUGUCGCUUGCCGCCUCUUUUGGCGGUAAGAGGAAAGUCCGGGCAACAUAGAGUGCCAUAUUUCCUAACGGGAAGCUGUCGGCGACGGCAGAGCAGUGUGACAGAAAACAACCGCCACGCAAGUGGUAAGGGUGAAAAGGCGGGGUAAGAGCCCACCGGGCGCGAUGGCGACAUUGCGCGCCGCACAUCUUAUGGGUUGCAAGGUCAAGUAUACCGGCAUUUAAGGGCUACUCGUCCAUUGCCGGGGGGUAGGCUGCUGGAGCCACGUGGCGACGCGUGGCGUAGAUAAAUGACAGGACGCGGCUAAGGCUGCGACAUAACCCGGCUUAUAGCCGUACUGUUUUU